UAAGCGGAGGAAAAGAAACUAACCAGGAUUCCCCUAGUAACGGCGAGUGAAGCGGGAAUAGCUCAAAUUUUAAAUCUGGCCGGCGUGGUCGGUCCGAGUUGUAAUUUGAAGAAGCGAUUAUCACGUUUUCGUUCGGGUUCAAGUUCCUUGGAAUAGGACAUCAGAGAGGGUGAGAAUCCCGUCUGUGAUCCGAUCGGCUUCGGUACGAUAACGUUUCUAAGAGUCGAGUUGUUUGGGAUUGCAGCUCAAAAUGGGUGGUAAAUUCCAUCUAAGGCUAAAUAUUGGCGAGAGACCGAUAGCGAACAAGUACCGUGAGGGAAAGAUGAAAAGAACUUUGAAAAGAGAGUUAAACAGUACGUGAAAUUGUUGAUAGGGAAACGAUUGAAGUCAGUCAUGCCAGUGAGAAAUCAGCUUACAGGCUACUGUGAGUGCACUUUUUCGCAAGGCAGGUUAACAUCGGUUUUCGUUGCGUCAUAAUGAUUGUAGGAAGGUGGCUCCUUCGGGAGUGUUAUAGCCUACUUUAGAUGGCGCGACGAGGACCGAGGAUUGCAGCGAAUGCCUUUGGCUACGGAUCUUUCUCUGUUGAUCUUUAGUUGAUCGUCAGCUUGCUGUACGAGCUGGUGUUAGGUUUGCAAUAGGAGGAAUCCGAUAAAUUCGCUAAGGAUGUUGACGUAAUGGCUUUAAACGACCCGUCUUGAAACACGGACCUAAGGAGUCUAGCAUUAAUAUGCCGAGUGUUA
This 740-nucleotide ribosomal RNA is filed under the name uncultured Archaeospora. RNAcentral describes it as "LSU rRNA". It matches the Rfam family "Eukaryotic large subunit ribosomal RNA", at positions 47 to 695 of the family's 3401-position model. Lineage: Eukaryota; Fungi; Glomeromycota; Glomeromycetes; Archaeosporales; Archaeosporaceae. The record is from RNAcentral.